CUGUAGUACACAGCUUGUUCACCACCUCUACUACAGGCCCAGUCCCAAGUAGAACAGAGCCUUUCUAUCUCCUAUUAAUGUGCCUUCUCCUCUUUCAGCUAAUAGCAUCAACACAUAAAAAAAAAAUCUGUGGAAAUAUGCAAGACAGGGCUUAGGAACUUCUGUGUGGCUUUGAUUCAGAUUUCUUAUGCACGAUCAGAAGGGUUGAGAACAGAUUUUUCUAUGUUUCUACCUCAUGGUGUCUUUUAUAGAUCUCCACCCUGUCUUGUGGCAUUUAUGAACCUGAAAGUGGUUCUUCAGAUCAUGGGCCAAGACAGCAACUCUUCCCUUUUUCUCUUUCCUUUCUUUCAGGAACUCAAGAAAGACCCAGAGGGGUUAAAUUGUCCUACCAAAAUCCCUAUGCAGGCAUCUGUCCCUGAUGGCUCAUUCAGCAUCCUCAAGUCUUCAGCAAAAAAUCCCCUGGAAGACCCUGCCCUGCAGCCCCUGGUAAGAAGGAUGUCCUCUGGGAAGGUCCAUGAACAGGAUCCUUGGAUGGGCAUGUUGUCUGUGACUCAGGAAUCUAAGAAACUCAGUGCCUGGAAAAGUCCACAUCUCUGUGCUAUAGAACAGCCACGCAGUGAAGUACUAUAGUAUUAAUGUGGGAGGCUGUGGAAAUGCCAUCCUGGAGCAUUUUAAGGACAGUUUAGAAAACAGAUAAGGAAUUACAGAUCACACAUGAAGGCAGAAGAGUCUUCCUGGACACCUGGGCAACACUGGCUG
This 759-nucleotide long non-coding RNA is filed under the name Parus major (Great Tit). RNAcentral describes it as "lncRNA (ENSPMJG00000006355.1)". The record is from RNAcentral. Lineage: Eukaryota; Metazoa; Chordata; Aves; Passeriformes; Paridae.